AUCACAGGGGACGGACCAUGAUCAAGGCACUCUCGGCAGUGACGAUCGCGGCUUUCGUUGCAGCAGCGAUGACAAUUUUGCCCAGUUUUGCGCCUCCGGUAGAGGCAAGCGUGCCGCGCGCACUUGCGAAAGCCGACCGGUUGCCCAUCCGGACGGUUAGCGUGCCCUGCUCGGCCCAGCACUGGCCGACCAUGGAUGCGGCCUGUCUGCACCGCAGCAACUGGAAGACCGGAA
This 234-nucleotide unclassified non-coding RNA is filed under the name Hevea brasiliensis (rubber tree). Lineage: Eukaryota; Viridiplantae; Streptophyta; Magnoliopsida; Malpighiales; Euphorbiaceae. The record is from RNAcentral.